RNAcentral lists this ribosomal RNA (1341 nucleotides) under uncultured bacterium. RNAcentral's name for it is "bacterial SSU rRNA". It matches the Rfam family "Bacterial small subunit ribosomal RNA". The record is from RNAcentral.
AAUUCGAUUAGAGUUUGAUCAUGGCUCAGAACGUACGCUGGCGGCACGCCUAACACAUGCAAGUCGAACGAAGUAGCAAUACUUAGUGGCAGACGGGUGAGUAACAUGUAGGUAUCUGCCCUUUGGCCUGGAAUAACACGAGGAAACUUGUGCUAAUACCGGAUAAGUCUUUACGGAGAAAGCUUUAUGCACCAUUGGAUGAGCCUGCACUUGAUUAGUUUGUUGGUGGGGUAAUGGCCUACCAAGACUGUGAUCAAUAGCUGAUUUGAGAGGAUGAUCAGCCACAUUGGGACUGAGACACGGCCCAAACUCCUACGGGAGGCAGCAGUGGGGAAUCUUGCACAAUGGAGGAAACUCUGAUGCAGCGAUGCCGCGUGAGUGAAGAAGGCCCUUGGGUUGUAAAGCUCUUUCGUCGGGGAAGAAAAUGACUGUACCCGAAUAAGAAGGUCCGGCUAACUUCGUGCCAGCAGCCGCGGUAAUACGAAGGGACCUAGCGUAGUUCGGAAUUACUGGGCUUAAAGAGUUCGUAGGUGGUUGAAAAAGUUGGUGGUGAAAUCCCAGGGCUUAACUCUGGAACUGCCAUCAAAACUUUUCAGCUAGAGUAUGAUAGAGGAAAGCAGAAUUUCUAGUGUAGAGGUGAAAUUCGUAGAUAUUAGAAAGAAUACCAAUUGCGAAGGCAGCUUUCUGGAUCAUUACUGACACUGAGGAACGAAAGCAUGGGUAGCGAAGAGGAUUAGAUACCCUCGUAGUCCAUGCCGUAAACGAUGUGUGUUAGACGUUGGAAAUUUAUUUUCAGUGUCGCAGCGAAAGCAAUAAACACACCGCCUGGGGAGUACGACCGCAAGGUUAAAACUCAAAUGAAUUGACGGGGACCCGCACAAGUAGUGGAGCAUGUGGUUUAAUUCGAAGAUACGCGCAGAACCUUACCAACACUUGACAUGUUCGUCGCGACUCUAAGAGAUUAGAGUUUUCGGUUCGGCCGGACGAAACACAGGUGCUGCAUGGCUGUCGUCAGCUCGUGUCGUGAGAUGUUGGGUUAAGUCCCGCAACGAGCGCAACCCUCACUUUUAGUUGCCAUCAUUAAGUUGGGCACUCUGAAAGAACUGCCAGUGAUAAGCUGGAGGAAGGUGGGGAUGACGUCAAGUCCUCAUGGCCCUUACGUGUUGGGCUACACACGUGCUACAAUGGUAUCUACAACAGGAAGCAAGACGGUGACGUUAAGCAAAUCCUUAAAAGAUACCUCAGUUCGGAUUGCACUCUGCAACUCGAGUGCAUGAAGCUGGAAUUACUAGUAAUCGUGGAUCAGCGUGCCACGGUGAAUGCGUUCCCGGGUCUUGUAGA